RNAcentral lists this non-coding RNA (26 nucleotides) under Mus musculus (house mouse). Lineage: Eukaryota; Metazoa; Chordata; Mammalia; Rodentia; Muridae. The record is from RNAcentral.
UAGUAAAGCAAGCCUGUCUGCCGUUU